Molecule: ribosomal RNA, 404 nt
Filed under: Actinomycetes bacterium
Lineage: Bacteria; Bacillati; Actinomycetota; Actinomycetes
Description: Actinobacteria bacterium partial 16S ribosomal RNA
Rfam family: Bacterial small subunit ribosomal RNA
Source: RNAcentral
UGGGGAAUAUUGGACAAUGGGCGCAAGCCUGAUCCAGCCAUGCCGCGUGAGUGAUGAAGGCUCUAGGGUUGUAAAGCUCUUUCACCGGUGAAGAUAAUGACGGUAACCGGAGAAGAAGCCCCGGCUAACUUCGUGCCAGCAGCCGCGGUAAUACGAAGGGGGCUAGCGUUGUUCGGAUUUACUGGGCGUAAAGCGCACGUAGGCGGACUAUUAAGUCAGGGGUGAAAUCCCGGGGCUCAACCCCGGAACUGCCUUUGAUACUGGUAGUCUUGAGUUCGAGAGAGGUGAGUGGAAUUCCGAGUGUAGAGGUGAAAUUCGUAGAUAUUCGGAGGAACACCAGUGGCGAAGGCGGCUCACUGGCUCGAUACUGACGCUGAGGUGCGAAAGCGUGGGGAGCAAACAGG